Molecule: non-coding RNA, 147 nt
Organism: Cyphomyrmex costatus
Lineage: Eukaryota; Metazoa; Arthropoda; Insecta; Hymenoptera; Formicidae
Source: Rfam
UCCGUUUAUUUUGUAGCGUUUUGGCGCUGGCAGCAUAAGUAUGUACAACCUAAACGAACUGGCAUAGCUCCCUUCUUCCAAGUUACAGUCGCUUCUAUGAUUUUUUUUUAUGUAAUAAAUUAUAAAAAGCUACGUGAGUAUUUAAAA